RNAcentral lists this ribosomal RNA (253 nucleotides) under uncultured bacterium. RNAcentral describes it as "partial 16S ribosomal RNA". It matches the Rfam family "Bacterial small subunit ribosomal RNA", at positions 524 to 776 of the family's 1533-position model. The record is from RNAcentral.
UACGUAGGGGGCUAGCGUUGUCCGGAAUUAUUGGGCGUAAAGAGCGUGUAGGCGGUCCGGUAAGUCCGCUGUAAAAGUCAAAGGCUCAACCUUUGAAUGUCAGUGGAUACUGCCGGGCUAGAGUCCGGAAGAGGCGAGUGGAACUCCUGGUGUAGCGGUGGAAUGCGCAGAUAUCAGGAAGAACACCAACGGCGAAGGCAGCUCGCUGGGACGGUACUGACGCUGAGACGCGAAAGCGUGGGGAGCGAACAGG